GAUGAACGCUGGCGUCGUGCCUAAUACAUGCAAGUCGAGCGAACAGACGAGGAGUUUGCUCCUCUGACUUUAGCGGCGAACGGGUGAGUAACACGUGGAUAACCUACCUAUAAGACUAGGAUAACUUCGGGAAACCGGAGCUAAUACCGGAUAAUAUAUUAAACCGCAUGGUUCAAUAGUGAAAGACGGUUUUGCUGUCACUUAUAGAUGGAUCCGCGCCGCAUUAGCUAGUUGGUAAGGUAACGGCUUACCAAGGCAACGAUGCGUAGCCGAGCUGAGAGGGUGAUCGGCCACACUGGAACUGAGACACGGUCCAGACUCCUCAGGGAGGAAGCAGUAGGCAAGCUUCCGCAACGGUCCAAAGCCCGACGGAGAAAAGCCGAGUGAGUCACGAAGGUCUCCGGAUCCUAAAACCCUGUUAUUAGGGAAGAACAAAUGUGUAAGUAACUAUUCACGUAUUGAUCCUCCCUAAGCAGCAAGUCACCGCUAACUACGUG
RNAcentral lists this ribosomal RNA (497 nucleotides) under uncultured bacterium. RNAcentral's name for it is "partial 16S ribosomal RNA". It matches the Rfam family "Bacterial small subunit ribosomal RNA", at positions 28 to 507 of the family's 1533-position model. The record is from RNAcentral.